This 430-nucleotide ribosomal RNA is filed under the name Acidobacteriota bacterium. RNAcentral describes it as "Acidobacteria bacterium partial 16S ribosomal RNA". It matches the Rfam family "Bacterial small subunit ribosomal RNA", at positions 355 to 776 of the family's 1533-position model. Lineage: Bacteria; Pseudomonadati; Acidobacteriota. The record is from RNAcentral.
UGGGGAAUAUUGGACAAUGGGCGCAAGCCUGAUCCAGCCAUGCCGCGUGUGUGAAGAAGGCCUUUUGGUUGUAAAGCACUUUAAGCGAGGAGGAGGCUACUUGGAUUAAUACUCUAGGAUAGUGGACGUUACUCGCAGAAUAAGCACCGGCUAACUCUGUGCCAGCAGCCGCGGUAAUACAGAGGGUGCGAGCGUUAAUCGGAUUUACUGGGCGUAAAGCGUGCGUAGGCGGCUUCUUAAGUCGGAUGUGAAAUCCCUGAGCUUAACUUAGGAAUUGCAUUCAAUACUGGGAAGCUAGAGUAUGGGAGAGGAUGGUAGAAUUCCAGGUGUAGCGGUGAAAUGCGUAGAGAUCUGGAGGAAUACCGAUGGCGAAGGCAGCCAUCUGGCCUAAUACUGACGCUGAGGUACGAAACCAUGGGGAGCAAACAGG